RNAcentral lists this small nuclear RNA (22 nucleotides) under Arabidopsis thaliana (thale cress). Its description in RNAcentral is "snRNA_09428". The record is from RNAcentral. Lineage: Eukaryota; Viridiplantae; Streptophyta; Magnoliopsida; Brassicales; Brassicaceae.
GUGCCUGGCUCCCUGUAUGCCA